RNAcentral lists this ribosomal RNA (465 nucleotides) under Vreelandella stevensii. RNAcentral's name for it is "partial 16S ribosomal RNA". It matches the Rfam family "Bacterial small subunit ribosomal RNA", at positions 338 to 795 of the family's 1533-position model. The record is from RNAcentral. Lineage: Bacteria; Pseudomonadati; Pseudomonadota; Gammaproteobacteria; Oceanospirillales; Halomonadaceae.
CCUACGGGAGGCAGCAGUGGGGAAUAUUGGACAAUGGGGGGAACCCUGAUCCAGCCAUGCCGCGUGUGUGAAGAAGUCCCUCGGGUUGUAAAGCACUUUCAGUGAGGAAGAACGCCUGGUGGUUAAUACCCAUCAGGAAAGACAUCACUCACAGAAGAAGCACCGGCUAACUCCGUGCCAGCAGCCGCGGUAAUACGGAGGGUGCGAGCGUUAAUCGGAAUUACUGGGCGUAAAGCGCGCGUAGGUGGCUUGAUAAGCCGGUUGUGAAAGCCCCGGGCUCAACCUGGGAACGGCAUCCGGAACUGUCAAGCUAGAGUGCAGGAGAGGAAGGUAGAAUUCCCGGUGUAGCGGUGAAAUGCGUAGAGAUCGGGAGGAAUACCAGUGGCGAAGGCGGCCUUCUGGACUGACACUGACACUGAGGUGCGAAAGCGUGGGUAGCAAACAGGAUUAGAUACCCGAGUAGUC